AGUAUUUAAAGAUGGGGGAGGAUGGCAGGUCGGAUUGCUGAGCCCCUUCCUCCUCCCUGGUCCUAAGUGACAGCAGGGAGAGCUGUAAGCCGAGGGAGAAGGGCCGUCCAUCUUGCGGCACUCAGCAGAGCGUGUACUGAAUUUGAUGGGAAACCCGGUUAUCAGACACAUUCCUAAUUACAGAAGGACAGUCACUGUACGACUAAAGCACUUAACAUACCUGGAUGAUAGACCGGUGUUUCCAAAGGACAGCAGGGAUCUGCUUCUUCUCUCUGAAGAGCUUGUGCGGAGGCCUGGGCUAGGGGAGGGUACGCAGCUGAAAAGGAGGAGAGACAGCAGUGGGAGAGCAGGGAGCGGAAGAAGAUCACGGACAGCAUUGAAGCCUUGGCCAUGAUCAAGCAGCGGGCGGAGGAGAGGAAAAGACAGAGAGAGAGUCAAGAGAGAGGGGAAAUGACAUCUUCAGAUGAUGGUGAGAACGUGCCCGCCAGUGCGGAAGGCAAGGAGGAGCCUCCCGGGGACAGAGAAACAAGGCAGAAGAUGGAGCUAUUUGUUAAGGAAAGCUU
Molecule: small RNA, 563 nt
Filed under: Pan troglodytes (chimpanzee)
Lineage: Eukaryota; Metazoa; Chordata; Mammalia; Primates; Hominidae
Description: processed transcript
Source: RNAcentral